AUGCUGUGAAGUAUCCUUCUCACUAUGGUUGGUUGCAUUAUGAUGUUUUCCUGUCAUUUCUAGUGUCAUUUUGUAUUUCAUAGCAGUCAUUUAUUAAAGAAGUUCUAUUGAUAGAACCUAAAACCAGCGUAUUAGAAUUCCCAUUGGACGGUCUUAUCGAGGAAGAUGUAUUUUACAUUUGAAUAUCAGCCGUGAUUCUUCUAAGUUGUUAUACAGUGAAAAUGACAUAAUGUUGAUUCAAAACAUGGCAAACAUUUUUUUCCUGUACUUUAUAUUCAGAUUAAAAAGUAAAUUUGUGCCUUCAAGUUUAUUGGGGCAUGUCCAAAAGACCAAAUUUGCUUGAAUUGUUCAGUUUCACUGGUAACCUGAACUAUGGAUUUUUAUAAAUAGAAUCUAGGCUGAUAGUGGCUAUAAAAGUGGUGUCAUAAGUUCAAUUUUUCACUUUCU
Molecule: long non-coding RNA, 447 nt
Filed under: Capsicum annuum
Lineage: Eukaryota; Viridiplantae; Streptophyta; Magnoliopsida; Solanales; Solanaceae
Description: long non-coding RNA (CANN_LNC006607)
Source: RNAcentral